RNAcentral lists this ribosomal RNA (435 nucleotides) under uncultured Hyphomicrobium sp. RNAcentral describes it as "bacterial SSU rRNA". It matches the Rfam family "Bacterial small subunit ribosomal RNA", at positions 8 to 490 of the family's 1533-position model. Lineage: Bacteria; Pseudomonadati; Pseudomonadota; Alphaproteobacteria; Hyphomicrobiales; Hyphomicrobiaceae. The record is from RNAcentral.
AGAGUUUGAUCAUGGCUCAGAACGAACGCUGGCGGCAGGCCUAACACAUGCAAGUCGAACGCCUCAGCAAUGAGGAGUGGCAGACGGGUGAGUAACGCGUGGGAACCUUCCCAGUGGUACGGAACAACUGACCGAAAGGUUAGCUAAUACCGUAUACGCCCGAAAGGGGAAAGAUUUAUCGCCAUUGGAUGGGCCCGCGUCGGAUUAGCUUGUUGGUGAGGUAAUGGCUCACCAAGGCGACGAUCCGUAGCUGGUCUGAGAGGAUGAUCAGCCACACUGGGACUGAGACACGGCCCAGACUCCUACGGGAGGCAGCAGUGGGGAAUAUUGGACAAUGGGCGCAAGCCUGAUCCAGCCAUGCCGCGUGAGUGAUGAAGGUCUUCGGAUUGUAAAACUCUUUCGCCGGGGAAGAUAAUGACGGUACCCGAGAAGAAG